RNAcentral lists this long non-coding RNA (3268 nucleotides) under Macaca fascicularis (crab-eating macaque). RNAcentral's name for it is "lncRNA (ENSMFAG00000053608.1)". Lineage: Eukaryota; Metazoa; Chordata; Mammalia; Primates; Cercopithecidae. The record is from RNAcentral.
GCUGGGCACGUUGGGCGGCAGGAGAGGCUGCUGUGCUGCCUGGCUCUCCCUUUCUAAGCUCCCGGGUCUGCGAAAGUUUGGGGUGGGUUGUACUUUCUCUAGGUCGGUCUGUCCCACCUGGUACCCCACCCUACUUUCUGCCCGGCCCCUCACCCUUGUCGGCGCUAUGCUUUCUCUCCGGGCCCCCCACCUUGUAUAUUGCACGGGCUCCCUGGGUGGUUUUGCUCCCAGGGACACUGCCAUGCGUUCAGUCCUGGAGCCCGUGAAUCCAAGCCUGUGCUCUCGCUCCCGCCCGUGGAUUGCGUGAAAAUCAAUAGAGCACCACCCAGCUCGUGUUGGAAGGGACGCUCAGACAUCUCCGCCCACGGCAUUUUCCCUCUAGGAGAAGGGCGAUUCAGCUUCGCACCUGAGCUGUUUAAGGACUGGAUCUGACCCUUUUCCUGAAGAUUGCCGGUGGGGCGUGCCAGUCUCUCGCCCGACCUUGGAAGGUGGACAAGGAGUGAUUUCAGAGUCGUUUCCCGACCUGCUGAAAAUACCCGACCUAGGCGCACCCAAAACGUUCCCUACAGUUGCAGGGGGGUUCUGGUUUCCCAAACCGCGGGACUCACGAAUCUCAAGAACAGCUGGCAGAAAGGACUGUCUGCUUGGGGGAAGGGGAGAGACCAACGCGGAGAGCCGUGGAGCUGCUUGUGGCCCCAGCCUUGGGUCACCCAGGACGCCCUUUCCGGAGCCGAGUUAAGGUCGCGGACCCUGAAGAAGAAAUUGAGACCUCAAAACUAAUUCGCCCACGAUCUCACUGUUCCCGAUGGAGCAAGGGGUUCGAAUUGUGGGGGGAUAAAUUUAGUAUCAGCCUUCAGCCGUCCAACUACUCACCUUCGAAUCACAGUCCCCCGCCUGUGCUGUGCUGUGCAACAUGUGAGGGUAAAAAAUGCGCAGGUUGUAAGAGGUGAGGUUUUUUGUUUGUUUGUUUUUGUUUGUUUGUGGGUUUUUGUUUGGUUUUGGACUGGAAAACUUAAAGCUCAAGAGUUUUUUUGUCUUUUUUUUCUUUCUUUCUCUCUCUCUCUCUCUCUCUCUCUCUGUUUUUCUUUAACAGAGUCUCUCUUUGUCGCCCAGGCUGGAGUGCAGUGGCGUGAUCUCGGCUCACUGCAACCUUCGCCUCCUGGGUUCAAGUGAUUCACCUGCCUCAGCCACCUGAGUAGCUGGGACUACAGGCGCCUGCCACCACGCCCGGCUAAUUUUUGUAAUUUUAGUGGAAACGGGGUUUCGUCAUGUUAUCCAGGCUGGUCUGGAUCUCCUGACCUCAGGUGAUCCGCCCACCUCGGCCUCCCAAAGUGCUGGGAUAACAGGCAAGAACCACCGCGGCCGGCCUAAAGCUCAGGAGUUUUAUUGUGUUUUCUUUCCCAAGCUGUAUGAAAAGUCCAACAGCACUGUUCUGUCGUUCUUUGCCUUCUUAUAUGUGACCUUUUCCCCUCUGGGGGCUUAUAAAUAUUCAUCUUGUCUUAUAAAUCCUCAGUGAAGGCAAUGAGUAUUUUUAUUUCCGUUUUACCAUUAGGGAUACUGGUUGGGGGAAGAUGAAUGACUUGCCCAAGGUCAUAUAGUAAAUCAGGACACAGACAAGAUCAAGCUUGCCCUGUCAAAGUGCUUCCCUGACAGGCAGCAGUGAUCCUCCUUUAUUUAUGUGCAAAGUACUCUCCAAUUAGGAAAUUAAGCAUCCUGGUGCUCUCUUUGGAAGGGAAGCCUUUUAUAAAUUCAUCACUUGUUAAUCAGUCAUAAAUAAAACCUACUCACUUUUGACCUCUAGAGGAAACCUGCUAUCUGGAGAUUUCACUAAUCCGAGCUAUGGAGACUUUUUUUCCCCCAGGUUUCCCUUCUAUUUCUCUUGUACAUUUCUAUACUUACUCGAGUCCUCUUUGGGUGAACCAUUGACGCACUGUAUCUUUCCAUUGCUUGCCUUAGCAUAUUGAACCUCUUAAUAGAUUUCAGGCUACUAUGCUAAAAUGUGUCUAUCUCUGUGGAGACUAAAGGCUAAAGUUCAAAGUGACACUGGCAAGAAUGAUUGGCUAAUUUUAAGAUUUAGAACUGUAGCCUUUUAGAGCUAGAGGCCACUGGAGAUCAUACCCAGCAUCUAGAUCUGCAUGGAGGAAGCCAAGGCCCAGAGAGGUCAAGUUCCUUACCUAAAGUUACACAGCUAGUUUGUGACACAACUGGGACAAGAACCCAGAUCUGCUUCCUCACAUUGCUCUUUGCAAUGUACUGCAUUACCUCAUUUUUGCUGCAAGCCCUUGGCCACUGUCAAAAUCAUUCAUUUACUCAUCAAAUGUUUAUUAAGUAGGCACUUCAGUGCCAGGCACUGAAGCAAAAAAAGAAGAGUUUUCCUUCAUUAAUUGGAACAGGAGACUUCAGCAUUUUAAAUAUGUAGAGAAUAAACUGACAGCUUUUUAAAAUAUGUUAGCUCAUGAAUGGUAAAGUUUACAAAGAUAUAAAGCAGUGUUUUCUUCUAUCUGUAAUAUUAUCCAAAUUCUGUGAUCAUAAUAUUAGCCAACAUUUAAAAUGAAACUGUAUUUGAAAUCCAGACAAAAAUGUACUUUGAAAAUGCAAGUGGCUACUCUGUUCCUAGUCACAUCCUUAGAACACACAAUUGAUUCAGAAAACGUUGUCAACUACCUCUAAUUUUGUGUUACUUUUGAUUAUCAUUGCUUUGUUCGAGCUUUUUUCUGUAUAUAAAAAUUUUCCAAAUAUUUGUCAUGCUGAUUAUUAUUUAAUAUGUUUGGGGUCACACUUACUUUUGCAGAGGGGAUGUCUUGCCUAAUGAAAAUCAAUGGGAAAAUAGGUUAUGGAGAAAGUUCCUUUUUAGGCACCAUUUUAGAACUGUUGUGCAAUGGUAAUCACUAUGGCAAAAUGCCUGUUGAUCCUCUCCAUGUAAUUAAUUAAUGAUAAUUCUAUUCAGGUUUUCAACUCUAAAUAUCAGAAAACAGCUUUUCUACUUGCUCAGUAACUUGAUUUAAGGAUAUAGAGUGAAAAAUAAUUUGUUAUGGAAUUUUCUUGGUGCCGUUUAAGGUUUCAGACUAUUUUAGAAGAUAAAUGUUCACACCUAGUGCAUGUAAAAAUUAAAUUCCAUUAACAUCUAUUAAAUGUCAGUCCCCAGGGUGUCUAGCCUUGUAAAAGUCAAAGAUAUAUAAUAUUAAUCUUAAAAUGCAAAAAUGUCUUGCCUCUGCUUAAACCAUGAGCUAAAAAGCAUCUAGAAGGAGUGGAUGCCAUAGGGAGAAAA